CCGACCUUAGCUCAGUUGGAAGAGCGCGAGACUGUAAUUGGUUAUUUGUCAUCUUGAGGUCGCCUGUUCGAGCCAGGCAGGUCGGA
Molecule: transfer RNA, 86 nt
Organism: Rhizopogon vinicolor AM-OR11-026
Lineage: Eukaryota; Fungi; Basidiomycota; Agaricomycetes; Boletales; Rhizopogonaceae
Rfam family: tRNA
About the family: Transfer RNA (tRNA) molecules are approximately 80 nucleotides in length. Their secondary structure includes four short double-helical elements and three loops (D, anti-codon, and T loops). Further hydrogen bonds mediate the characteristic L-shaped molecular structure. tRNAs have two regions of fundamental functional importance: the anti-codon, which is responsible for specific mRNA codon recognition, and the 3' end, to which the tRNAs corresponding amino acid is attached (by aminoacyl-tRNA synthetases). tRNAs cope with the degeneracy of the genetic code in two manners: having more than one tRNA (with a specific anti-codon) for a particular amino acid; and 'wobble' base-pairing, i.e. permitting non-standard base-pairing at the 3rd anti-codon position.
Source: Rfam